This 611-nucleotide ribosomal RNA is filed under the name Morinda sp. 5 SGR-2009. RNAcentral's name for it is "eukaryotic LSU rRNA". The stretch from base 193 to 347 matches the Rfam family "5.8S ribosomal RNA". The record is from RNAcentral. Lineage: Eukaryota; Viridiplantae; Streptophyta; Magnoliopsida; Gentianales; Rubiaceae.
UCCUGCCCGACAGACGACCGCGAACGCGUCAAAAACUCGCCGGGGGCCGGCGGGCGCGGGAAAUCCCGCCCGUCGGCUCCCGAGCCCAACCCAACUCCCGGCGCGGACGCGCCAAGGACCUCUCAAAACGGACCGCCGGCCCACCCUGCGGCUCCCGCAGGGCGAGCCGGGCGUCUGAUCGUUAACCAAAACGACUCUCGGCAACGGAUCUCUAGGCUCUCGCAUCGAUGAAGAACGUAGCGAAAUGCGAUACCUGGUGUGAACUGCAGAAUCCCGUGAACCAUCGAGCUUUUGAACGCAAGUUGCGCCCGAAGCCCCAGGCUGAGGGCACGUCUGCCUGGGCGUCACGCAUCGCGUCGCCACCCCCCUCCUCGCCUUUAGAAAUAUGGACGGACGGGAGGUGACGGAUCUUGGCCUCCCGUGCCCCCGCGGCGCGGCCGGCCUAAGGUCUGAACUCAUCAACUCGGUAGCUGUCGCGACGACGCCCGACGGGGAACUCUCCCGACCCUAGGGCUGCCGGCCCCGAGAGGAGCCGCUAGCCUUCGACCGCGACCCCAGGUCAUGCGGGAUUACCCGCUGAGUUUAAGCAUAUCAAUAAGCGGAGGAAAGAA